CGAAUCAGAAAGGGUUUUCAUGGCGUGGCAAAAGCGGACAGAGAGCGUAAUGAACCAUUCGAAGGCUCAAGGCGUACGGGGACGGGCCAGGGUCGCGCAGAUGUUGGUGCUCGCGUGCCUGACCAGUGGGCUGGGGGCGUGCACGAUCGCCAAGGAUCUGGGGGACUACCUGAAUCUGCGGAACAGCUUGCUGAAUCCCUCGGAGGUGGGGCAGUUUGAUAAGCGCAACCCGUUUGGGACGGUGCGCCCGGUGACCUGGCCGAUUCUGGAACAGCUGGAUGUGAUUGAUGAACGGGUGGACCAUUGGGCGGAUGCAUCGGAUCCGUUGCCCAGCGAUCUGGUGACCGAGAAUCGCGAAUAUCGUAUCGGGCCCGGGGAUGCGAU
RNAcentral lists this unclassified non-coding RNA (384 nucleotides) under uncultured bacterium. Its description in RNAcentral is "contains 16S-23S intergenic spacer region". The record is from RNAcentral.